This 376-nucleotide unclassified non-coding RNA is filed under the name uncultured fungus. Its description in RNAcentral is "partial contains small subunit ribosomal RNA, internal transcribed spacer 1, and 5.8S ribosomal RNA". The stretch from base 1 to 73 matches the Rfam family "Eukaryotic small subunit ribosomal RNA", at positions 1759 to 1831 of the family's 1831-position model. Lineage: Eukaryota; Fungi. The record is from RNAcentral.
GCAAACUUGGUCAUUUAGAGGAAGUAAAAGUCGUAACAAGGUUUCCGUAGGUGAACCUGCGGAAGGAUCAUUAUAGAAAUAAACUUGAUGGAUUGUUGCUGGCUCUCAAUGGGAGAAGCAAGUGCACGUCUAUCAUUUUUAUCUUUCCACCAUGUGCACUAUGCAUAGACCUGAACAAUUUUGUUAAUCAAAUAUUACUUUGGUUUUUGGGAAUUGCUGUUAUCAAUGGCAGCUUUUUCUGUGUUCAGGCUCUAUGAAUUUUUGUUACACACCACUGUAUGUUAAUGAACGUUAUAAUGGCUUUCUAAGCCUAUAAAUCUAUAAUACAACUUUCAGCAACGGAUCUCUUGGCUCUCGCAUCGAUGAAGAACGCAGC